RNAcentral lists this ribosomal RNA (497 nucleotides) under uncultured bacterium. Its description in RNAcentral is "bacterial SSU rRNA". It matches the Rfam family "Bacterial small subunit ribosomal RNA", at positions 37 to 518 of the family's 1533-position model. The record is from RNAcentral.
UGGCGGCGUGCCUAACACAUGCAAGUCGAGCGGGGACUUGCGACAGACCUGAAGACUUCGGUUGGAUGGAAAGAUGUAAAGUUCUAGCGGCGGACGGGUGAGUAACGCGUGAGCAACCUGUCCCUUACAGGGGGAUAACACAGCGAAAGUUGUACUAAUACCGCAUGAGACCACGGUAAGACAUCUUACAGGGGUCAAAGGAGUAAUCCGGUAAGGGGUGGGCUCGCGUCCGAUUAGAUAGCUGGUGAGGUAACGGCCCACCAAGUCGACGAUCGGUAGCCGACCUGAGAGGGUGAUCGGCCACAUUGGGACUGAGACACGGCCCAAACUCCUACGGGAGGCAGCAGUGGGGAAUAUUGGGCAAAAUGGGGGGAACCCUGACCCAGCAACGCCGCGUGAGGGAAGAAGGUUUUCGGAUCGUAAACCUCUGUCCUUGGUGAAGAGGAAGAGACGGUAGCCAAGGAGGAAGCCCCGGCUAACUACGUGCCAGCCGCCGC